This 1351-nucleotide ribosomal RNA is filed under the name uncultured bacterium. RNAcentral's name for it is "bacterial SSU rRNA". It matches the Rfam family "Bacterial small subunit ribosomal RNA", at positions 42 to 1388 of the family's 1533-position model. The record is from RNAcentral.
ACAGGCUUAACACAUGCAAGUCGAGGGGCAGCAUGGUCUUAGCUUGCUAAGGCCGAUGGCGACCGGCGCACGGGUGAGUAACACGUAUCCAACCUGCCGUCUACUCUUGGACAGCCUUCUGAAAGGAAGAUUAAUACAAGAUGGCAUCAUGAGUCCGCAUGUUCACAUGAUUAAAGGUAUUCCGGUAGACGAUGGGGAUGCGUUCCAUUAGAUAGUAGGCGGGGUAACGGCCCACCUAGUCUUCGAUGGAUAGGGGUUCUGAGAGGAAGGUCCCCCACAUUGGAACUGAGACACGGUCCAAACUCCUACGGGAGGCAGCAGUGAGGAAUAUUGGUCAAUGGGCGAGAGCCUGAACCAGCCAAGUAGCGUGAAGGAUGACUGCCCUAUGGGUUGUAAACUUCUUUUAUAAAGGAAUAAAGUCGGGUAUGGAUACCCGUUUGCAUGUACUUUAUGAAUAAGGAUCGGCUAACUCCGUGCCAGCAGCCGCGGUAAUACGGAGGAUCCGAGCGUUAUCCGGAUUUAUUGGGUUUAAAGGGAGCGUAGAUGGAUAUUUAAGUCAGUUGUGAAAGUUUGCGGCUCAACCGUAAAAUUGCAGUUGAUACUGGAUAUCUUGAGUGCAGUUGAGGCAGGCGGAAUUCGUGGUGUAGCGGUGAAAUGCUUAGAUAUCACGAAGAACUCCGAUUGCGAAGGCAGCCUGCUAAGCUGCAACUGACAUUGAGGCUCGAAAGUGUGGGUAUCAAACAGGAUUAGAUACCCUGGUAGUCCACACGGUAAACGAUGAAUACUCGCUGUUUGCGAUAUACUGCAAGCGGCCAAGCGAAAGCGUUAAGUAUUCCACCUGGGGAGUACGCCGGCAACGGUGAAACUCAAAGGAAUUGACGGGGGCCCGCACAAGCGGAGGAACAUGUGGUUUAAUUCGAUGAUACGCGAGGAACCUUACCCGGGCUUAAAUUGCAGAUGAAUUACGGUGAAAGCCGUAAGCCGCAAGGCAUCUGUGAAGGUGCUGCAUGGUUGUCGUCAGCUCGUGCCGUGAGGUGUCGGCUUAAGUGCCAUAACGAGCGCAACCCUUGUUGUCAGUUACUAACAGGUUCCGCUGAGGACUCUGACAAGACUGCCAUCGUAAGAUGUGAGGAAGGUGGGGAUGACGUCAAAUCAGCACGGCCCUUACGUCCGGGGCUACACACGUGUUACAAUGGGGGGUACAGAGGGCCGCUACCACGCGAGUGGAUGCCAAUCCCCAAAACCUCUCUCAGUUCGGACUGGAGUCUGCAACCCGACUCCACGAAGCUGGAUUCGCUAGUAAUCGCGCAUCAGCCACGGCGCGGUGAAUACGUUCCCGGGCCUUGUACAC